Molecule: long non-coding RNA, 642 nt
Filed under: Ananas comosus (pineapple)
Lineage: Eukaryota; Viridiplantae; Streptophyta; Magnoliopsida; Poales; Bromeliaceae
Description: long non-coding RNA (ACOM_LNC001759)
Source: RNAcentral
CAACACUACGCUAGAAGCAAACCCAAGUAAUCCAACUACUACUCUCUAUCUAGUAGUGAUUGUCACACACUCAACACUGUGUCGGUUUCCAUUUCCAAUUAGGGACCUACCCAAGGUAGUCCAGCUUGUGCCGCCUAAGUGCCUGUGGUAGCUCAACAUCCCUACUCUUGGAAUGUGUCUGUCCCACUCGACCCCGUAGGCUUCUCAAUACCGCACGAGCGAACAUAAGUCGCGUAGGCUAACUCCGGAGUGCCGGCUUGUGGGGAGCGACCCACACAAGCAUGUGCGAAUGAGCACAAAUGGCAAACAAGCAAGGUCACUGUCUCAAAUACUCUAUCCACAUGUCUCCAACAUGGCAAGGUCACUAGCAUCCCAAGGAUCUAACCCAAUGUCUCUAAGUGAUGUCCCAACACUCACUUGCUUAGUGCCUCUUUAUGACACUUAAGCAUCACACUGAUAAAGCCCAAUUCUUGUUCUAUAUUUCAUUUAAACAUUAAUACCAAUGAUUACUAUAGCCCGGGCCCAAUGCCUCUUUAUGACAUUGACCCAAAAUCCCAAACAAUCUAAGUCCCCAAGCCUCUCUAGGCUUCUAAAGUCCCUAAUGUCACAAUUAGGCAUAAAGGUAAAAUGCAUGAAAGCAAU